Molecule: ribosomal RNA, 155 nt
Filed under: Pleurotus nebrodensis
Lineage: Eukaryota; Fungi; Basidiomycota; Agaricomycetes; Agaricales; Pleurotaceae
Description: 5.8S ribosomal RNA
Rfam family: 5.8S ribosomal RNA
About the family: 5.8S ribosomal RNA (5.8S rRNA) is a component of the large subunit of the eukaryotic ribosome.
Source: RNAcentral
ACAACUUUCAACAACGGAUCUCUUGGCUCUCGCAUCGAUGAAGAACGCAGCGAAAUGCGAUAAGUAAUGUGAAUUGCAGAAUUCAGUGAAUCAUCGAAUCUUUGAACGCACCUUGCGCCCCUUGGUAUUCCGAGGGGCAUGCCUGUUUGAGUGUC